UGAGGAAUAUUGCACAAUGGGCGCAAGCCUGAUCCAGCAAUGCCGCGUGCAGGAUGAAGGCCUUCGGGUUGUAAACUGCUUUUGUACGGAGCGAAAAGGUCUGCCCUAAUACGGUGGGCUCAUGACGGUACCGUAAGAAUAAGCACCGGCUAACUACGUGCCAGCAGCCGCGGUAAUACGUAGGGUGCGAGCGUUAAUCGGAAUUACUGGGCGUAAAGCGUGCGCAGGCGGUUAUAUAAGACAGAUGUGAAAUCCCCGGGCUCAACCUGGGACCUGCAUUUGUGACUGUAUAGCUAGAGUACGGUAGAGGGGGAUGGAAUUCCGCGUGUAGCAGUGAAAUGCGUAGAUAUGCGGAGGAACACCGAUGGCGAAGGCAAUCCCCUGGACCUGUACUGACGCUCAUGCACGAAGGCGUGGGGAGCAAACA
Molecule: ribosomal RNA, 427 nt
Filed under: uncultured bacterium
Lineage: Bacteria
Description: bacterial SSU rRNA
Rfam family: Bacterial small subunit ribosomal RNA
Source: RNAcentral